RNAcentral lists this unclassified non-coding RNA (351 nucleotides) under soil metagenome. Its description in RNAcentral is "partial contains 5.8S ribosomal RNA, internal transcribed spacer 2, and large subunit ribosomal RNA". The stretch from base 1 to 120 matches the Rfam family "5.8S ribosomal RNA", at positions 35 to 154 of the family's 154-position model. The record is from RNAcentral.
GAUGAAGAACGCAGCGAAAUGCGAUAAGUAAUGUGAAUUGCAGAAUUCAGUGAAUCAUCGAAUCUUUGAACGCACAUUGCGCCCGCCAGUAUUCUGGCGGGCAUGCCUGUUCGAGCGUCAUUACAACCCUCAGGCCCCCGGGCCUGGCGUUGGGGAUCGGCGGAGCCCCCCGUGGGCACACGCCGUCCCCCAAAUGCAGUGGCGGUCCCGCCGCAGCUUCCAUCGCGUAGUAGCUAACACCUCGCAACUGGAGAGCGGCGCGGCCACGCCGUAAAACACCCAACUUCUGAAUGUUGACCUCGAAUCAGGUAGGAAUACCCGCUGAACUUAAGCAUAUCAAUAAGCGGAGGA